This 478-nucleotide ribosomal RNA is filed under the name uncultured bacterium. RNAcentral's name for it is "bacterial SSU rRNA". It matches the Rfam family "Bacterial small subunit ribosomal RNA", at positions 30 to 501 of the family's 1533-position model. The record is from RNAcentral.
AUUGAACGCUGGCGGCAUGCCUUACACAUGCAAGUCGAACGGCAGCACGGGAGCAAUCCUGGUGGCGAGUGGCGAACGGGUGAGUAAUAUAUCGGAACGUGCCCAGUCGUGGGGGAUAACGCAGCGAAAGUUGUGCUAAUACCGCAUACGAUCUAUGGAUGAAAGCGGGGGAUCGCAAGACCUCGCGCGAUUGGAGCGGCCGAUAUCAGAUUAGGUUGUUGGUGAGGUAAAAGCUCACCAAGCCUGCGAUCUGUAGCUGGUCUGAGAGGACGACCAGCCACACUGGAACUGAGACACGGUCCAGACUCCUACGGGAGGCAGCAGUGGGGAAUUUUGGACAAUGGACGCAAGUCUGAUCCAGCAAUGCCGCGUGCAGGACGAAGGCCUUCGGGUUGUAAACUGCUUUUGUACAGAACGAAAAGUCUUUAAUAACACUAAGAGGCUCAUGACGGUACUGUAAGAAUAAGCACCGGCUAAC